RNAcentral lists this ribosomal RNA (478 nucleotides) under uncultured bacterium. RNAcentral's name for it is "partial 16S ribosomal RNA". It matches the Rfam family "Bacterial small subunit ribosomal RNA", at positions 28 to 523 of the family's 1533-position model. The record is from RNAcentral.
GACGAACGCUGGCGGCGUGCUUAACACAUGCAAGUCGAACGGUAAGGCCCUUCGGGGUACACGAGUGGCGAACGGGUGAGUAACACGUGGGUGAUCUGCCCUGCACUUCGGGAUAAGCCUGGGAAACUGGGUCUAAUACCGGAUAGGACCACUGCCUGCAUGGGUGGUGGGGGAAAGCUUUUGCGGUGUGGGAUGGGCCCGCGGCCUAUCAGCUUGUUGGUGGGGUGAUGGCCUACCAAGGCGACGACGGGUAGCCGGCCUGGGAGGGUGACCAGCCACACUGGGACUGAGAUACGGCCCAGACUCCUACGGGAGGCAGCAGUGGGGAAUAUUGCACAAUGGGCGCAAGCCUGAUGCAGCGACGCCGCGUGAGGGAUGACGGCCUUCGGGUUGUAAACCUCUUUCAGCACCGACGAAGCGCAAGUGACGGUAGGUGCAGAAGAAGGACCGGCCAACUACGUGCCAGCCGCCGCGGUAA